RNAcentral lists this ribosomal RNA (379 nucleotides) under uncultured eukaryote. RNAcentral describes it as "SSU rRNA". It matches the Rfam family "Eukaryotic small subunit ribosomal RNA", at positions 587 to 972 of the family's 1831-position model. The record is from RNAcentral.
AGCUCCAAUAGCGUAUAUUAAAGUUGUUGCGGUUAAAAAGCUCGUAGUUGGAUUUCUGUCGAAAACGCGUGGUCCACUCUAUGAGUGCGCAUCUACGACGGUUUUGGCAUCCGGGAGUGUGUUACACGUCGCUUCACUGCGAUGUUGGUGCGCUCCUCUUUUACUUUGAGGAAAUUAGAGUGUUCACGGCAGGCAAUCGCCUUGAAUAUGUUAGCAUGGAAUAAUAAUAUAGGACCUUGGUUCUAUUUUGUUGGUUUCUAGAGCUAAGGUAAUGAUUAAUAGGGAUAAUUGGGGGCAUUCGUAUUAUCACGUCAGAGGUGGAAUUCUUGGAUUGUGUUACGACGAACUACUGCGAAAGCAUUUGCCAAGGAUGUUUUCA